This 375-nucleotide ribosomal RNA is filed under the name Triticum aestivum (bread wheat). RNAcentral's name for it is "partial small subunit ribosomal RNA". The record is from RNAcentral. Lineage: Eukaryota; Viridiplantae; Streptophyta; Magnoliopsida; Poales; Poaceae.
ACUUGCAAUCGAUGCCCCUUAUGCAAGCAAGUUGAAGAGUACGCGGCUCACCUCCUUUUCCAAUGCCGCUACACGGUUCGAGUUUGGAAAAUGAUUAAGUCUUGGCUUGGCUUGGUUGAUGUGCACCCUACGGCUUGGGUGGCGGUCCAUUCGGUGAAGGCAUGGUGGAACCUCAUUGACACCAACAUGUCGCAAUCUCGACGGGCGAUGAUGUCUUUUAUUAUGCUUAUCUCGUGGGAAAUUUGGAACGAGAGGAAUGCACGCGUCUUCUGUGACACCGCGGUGCCGGUUGGGAUUCUUGUUGCUAGAAUUAAAGAUGUUUCAAAGCUAUGCUGCCUUGCAUGGGCCAGGUAUUUGAGUAAUGUAGUGCCGUGA